GACGAACGCUGGCGGCGUGCUUAACACAUGCAAGUCGAACGGAAAGGCCUCGUUCGGGGGGUACUCGCGUGGCGAACGGGUGAGUAACACGUACGUAACCUGCCCUUGACUUUGGGAUAACUUCAGGAAACUGGGGCUAAUACCGGAUAGGAGCUCCUGCUGCAUGGAGGGUGUUGGAAAGUUUCGGCGGUUGGGGGUGGACUCGCGGCUUAUCAGCUUGGUGGUGGGGUGUUGGCUUACCAAGGCGUUAUCGGGUAGCCGGACUGAGAGGGUGACCGGCCACAUUGGGACUGAGAUACGGCCCAGACUCCUACGGGAGGGAGCAGUGGGGAAUAUUGCCCAAUGGGUGGAAGCCUGAUGCAGCAACGCCGUGUGCGGGAUGACGGCCUUCGGGUUGUAAACCGCUUUCGCUCAUGACGAAGCUUUGUGUGACGGUAGUUGGUAAAGAAGCAACGGCUAACUACGUG
This 467-nucleotide ribosomal RNA is filed under the name uncultured bacterium. RNAcentral describes it as "partial 16S ribosomal RNA". It matches the Rfam family "Bacterial small subunit ribosomal RNA", at positions 28 to 507 of the family's 1533-position model. The record is from RNAcentral.